ACAAUAUCUACUAGAGAGACAUGGCCCAUCUUACUAACAAGACAUAGACAUACCAACAAUGUGACACCCAAUAACACAGCCGCUUUGAGAGUUUAGGAGACGACCAUUUACAUAGACAAGGUUGUGUGGUGUUGAUAGUUUAAAUCCAACAAUUGACAUUAAUUGAUUCCUCUUAGUCGUCUAUAUUUAUAGGUGUUACUUACAUACAUUGCUGGCCAGCCGGUGAAAAAUAGAGUUCUUGACUCAGUCCACAACCAUCCUGAAUCUCUUUAGCCCUGCAUGAGAAAUAUAUAUGCCUAUAGAAAGAUAUUCUCAACAAACUUAAAAAAUCAUCAUGGAAUGCUCACAAAUUUUGGCAGCAUGGCACUCAGAAGGCAUAUAAAACCUCUUUUCAUGCACACUGAAUUUACAAAGUUGCUGUCUUGAUUAUUAUGAUCAGUGUUGAUAAUAUGUUUCUGGCAGAUAUUCUGUGUAGCUGAUCCUUGUUAUGACAAGGCACUGCAAUAGUUUUAGAGCUUCCUUUUUGGUUUGGUUUCUGAAGAGAAAUUAGCGCUAAUGGAUGGAAUGUAUUGGCUUAACAAGUAAACUCUUUUACAUAACAUGAAUGUGACAGGAACUAGUUUUGUCUUUUUGUAUGAGUUACUGUCUUUUUUUUAAUGAAAUCUCUAAUGUCAAAAAUAUGAAACUGAAAAGUAUAUACUUCUAGGAGAUUCAAAAACCUUUUUUGUUGUAUAUAGUUCAUCAUCAAACACAGCCCACAAAGUAUUAAGAAGAGUGGAAUCACAAAUUUGUGUUAUGGUAAAUUUUGUAAAUUGACGACAAAAAAGGAAAAAUGGUAAAAGAAAAUAUAUUAAAUCAACCAAAAAUAUAAUAAAAUCAUAACUUUAAGCUUCUGUAUUAGGGUUUUUGUGUUAUGCCGCCUCCUAUACUCACUAUAUAUAUAACUCGAGUUUCUCUUCUUUUCUUAACAUCCUGUUUCUACUCUUCUCUGAUAUUAGCGGCGGCGGAUUGGACCAGAAAUUGCAUCCGGUUUGACCGCUUUCAGUUUCUUUCGCUUAAGGUAUCUAACUUGUCCGUAACAGAGUGAAUACAACCAUUGAUGAUACUAUCAGACGAGUGUUGUUAAAUCUUGAUCCUUGCAACGUUGAGAUUGAAAUUCAUUUGGGCUUUGGCACAAAAGAAUUUGUUACUUCGGUUAUCAGAUAUCCUUGUUGGGUUUCAUUCAAAUCUAAUCACUGAUAAGAGUAUCCAGGAACAUUGUUUUGCUAUGGGUUGACUUCAUCAAGCUUUUGUCUUUUUUUGAUCAUUACAGUCAGAUCUUAUUUGCAUGUAUGAGCGAAAGAGGGAUUGUUGGAAGUGUUUGUUAUUGUAAUCGUUGCAUGUAUGUUAUUUAAAUUGUUGCAA
Long non-coding RNA from Brassica napus (rape), 1404 nucleotides. RefSeq lists it as uncharacterized. The transcript has 2 exons. NCBI's taxonomy places the organism in Eukaryota, Viridiplantae, Streptophyta, Magnoliopsida, Brassicales, Brassicaceae. The record is from RefSeq and is a predicted model, not a curated record.